RNAcentral lists this ribosomal RNA (274 nucleotides) under uncultured bacterium. RNAcentral describes it as "partial 16S ribosomal RNA". It matches the Rfam family "Bacterial small subunit ribosomal RNA", at positions 523 to 796 of the family's 1533-position model. The record is from RNAcentral.
AUACGGAGGGUGCAAGCGUUACUCGGAAUCACUGGGCGUAAAGCGCACGCAGGCGGUCUUUUAAGUUGGAUGUGAAAGCCUACGGCUCAACCGUAGAACUGCAUCCAAAACUAUUAGACCAGGGUGUGGGAGAGGAAGAUGGAAUUAGUUGUGUAGGGGUAAAAUCCGUAGAGAUAACUAGGAAUACCAAAAGCGAAGGCAAUCUUCUGGAACACUACUGACGCUGAGGCGCGAAAGCGUGGGGAGCAAACAGGAUUAGAUACCCUAGUAGUCC